Molecule: long non-coding RNA, 2220 nt
Organism: Scatophagus argus
Lineage: Eukaryota; Metazoa; Chordata; Actinopteri; Scatophagidae
Exons: 3
Source: RefSeq, a predicted model, not a curated record
AAUCUUUGUGUUUUAGUGACCUUUGAAUGAGCCUUUUAUGUCUGCAGAGGGAGCGGAUCCACCGUGUUGCAGCGCUGCCUGUCUACAGUCACCCAGAAUGGACAAACCAAGCUAACAGCAGGUUACGACUCAGCUCCGGGCUGUAAAUUAUCAUGCAAUUGAAUAACCUUUUGACGAGAGGUUAAACGAUUGUCGGGUGAUUUUUCCCUCCAAAAUGGACCACGAGCUUGAUCACGCAGCGACGACUGUGUUCUGCGGAGGGAGAGUGACGGGUUAUUUAGUGCUGUUUUGAUAUCUGAGCCCGAGGAAUGCCUGCAGAUACAGUGAUCCCUCUGUGUGAGGAGGAAGCUUCACAGAUGAGCUCGCCCAGGUGUUACACCUCACAACAGCAAGUUGAGGAGAGCAUAAAAGAUGUGCAAAUGCACUCUUGCAUGUGUUUCGGAGAGGCGGAAAACAAAGAGUCUUUUUUUUUUUUUUUUUUUUUUUUGUCAGUUGCUGAAAACUCCAGCGUCAACUGACAGACAUUUUAGAUUUUUUAUCAGCUUUUUCUGACAUCUUUGCCACAUGGUUCUACUGUAGAUAAAGACUGAUGUGCGAGACUGUGUAAAGAUCCAACAUGAGAGGAAUUACAUCAGAAAGAGACAAACAGUCUUGGUCUGUGGCAUCUGAUUGUUCCAGCUUGUCUUCAUACCUGCUCAGGUUUCACUGCGAGGCUUGUCAGUCCCUCCGCGGACUUCAAACGCAGCGCUGAAUCCUUCACCUGCACCUUCACUCAUCCCUUCACACCUUGCCGACAACCUGCAGCGCGAGCACUGCGAUGGUAAAUUACACAUAAUUGCUGAGAUUUGAGCUCGACAUAACAAAGACGUUUUGUCGGCUGUUGUGUCAUUACUGGAACAUCACACUUAAGCUAGCGCUCUCUAAUUAAAGCUGUCAGCUUUCCAACACGCAGUCAUCUGCUGUGCAGAAAAUUUCACGUGCGCCUGAUUUUUGGGCUUGUGCUGAACAUAAAUAAGAACGGCCAGACAAAAUGUCUGUGAAAGACAUCCUCUGGUGUUCUGGCAAAUCUAAAUAAACUUCAGAGAGACAAAGUCCACAUGUGGCGAGAGAGAGAGAUCACGCACCGGAUGAGAAGACAAUGACAAAACUUGGCCCUACAGGCCUGCUCGUAUCCAGAGAAUCACAGCUAACAACAGCACAAGACAAUAGCGUUCCCAUGCCCACGGUCUGUGCCACUCUCAUGCUUACCAUUAGAUGUUCUCAUUUUUCUUCCCCGUGUCUUGAUGCAAAGUGAAAACAGAUUGGGACGACAGUGAGAAGUUACCCAAUCACUUAGAUCUCUGGCGCUGUGUGAAAUCCAUUUAUCCCUGAUCAUUAUGACAGUGUUUUUCUGUCUGUAUCGAUAGUCAUUUCCUUUCUCCCUGCAGCAGCCUUAGAGUCUCCGAUGCUGGCGCUGAGCACAGCUCAGUCCCACGGAGGGCAAGCAAAGGAGGAAAUCAAUGGAGAAAAUAUUGCUGCAGGCUCACACAUUUUUAUCUUGCUUUGAACGAGUCAGCUUUAAUUUUGCUUUGAUCUCAAUUUGCUGCUUUUGGGAUGGCUUGGCUGCACAUUCAAGCAGGAGGAAUAAGCUUCCACCGGGGCUUUCUUACAAAAGACCCUUUCAACUGAGGCCUUUAUUUUGCGUCAGUGUCCAUUACUGCCUCACAAGGAAUAAAGAUACAAGGAAUCAAAACAACUAAAUGCUACAGGACUCUGACACACGGGUGCACAUCUCAGGCGGACACUUCGCCAACCGCACUUUAUCUAUUCUAGUCGGGGCGGAUUUACGGCCAAACGGCGGACAAUGUUAGCGAGGGGCCUCAAUAAAGAGAUCCUCAGUGCUGCUGUCAGGAACGGCUCGCCGUUGUUGUGGGGUAACAGGUUGACGAGAUGCACAGCUGGCGUUGUUCUCACUGCUCACAACGCCACGGCACUCCUCUCCCCCGCACAUCAUUAGAGCUGACACACCAAAGGGAGGGCGAUAUUAUAGCAUCACCUCAGGUCUGCUAAAGAUGUCUGCCUCAUCCUUUUCCAAACCAGUGCGUCCUUAGGAGGGGAGUUGUUUGGGAAUUUGUUUCUCUUUUAUAAAGCAGAGACAAAAGCGUAGGAUAAAUGACCGGGCAGAGAAAAGACCAGCGCCUUGCUGGGGAGAAAGGGAAGGGUCUAAUCUAAUUUGGUUAG